Long non-coding RNA from Ipomoea nil (Japanese morning glory), 94 nucleotides. RefSeq lists it as uncharacterized. The transcript has 3 exons. NCBI's taxonomy places the organism in Eukaryota, Viridiplantae, Streptophyta, Magnoliopsida, Solanales, Convolvulaceae. The record is from RefSeq and is a predicted model, not a curated record.
GCUCAAAACAACUUUAGAUCUAUCAGGUAACAGAUAAUUUACCAAACGCUUUUCUACAAUCAGUUAAUGUUAUCAACUAAUCAUUCCCUCUAAC